RNAcentral lists this ribosomal RNA (344 nucleotides) under Clostridioides difficile. RNAcentral describes it as "partial 23S ribosomal RNA". It matches the Rfam family "Bacterial large subunit ribosomal RNA", at positions 2342 to 2685 of the family's 2925-position model. The record is from RNAcentral. Lineage: Bacteria; Bacillati; Bacillota; Clostridia; Peptostreptococcales; Peptostreptococcaceae.
ACGUAGAGUGUAAAGGCAAAAGAGAGCUUGAUUGCAAGACAUACAGGUCGAGCAAGGAUGAAAAUCGGACUUAGUGAUCCGGUGGUUCUGCGUGGAAGGGCCAUCGCUCAACGGAUAAAAGCUACCCUGGGGAUAACAGGCUUAUCUCCCCCAAGAGUCCACAUCGACGGGGAGGUUUGGCACCUCGAUGUCGGCUCAUCACAUCCUGGGGCUGUAGUAGGUCCCAAGGGUUGGGCUGUUCGCCCAUUAAAGUGGUACGCGAGCUGGGUUCAGAACGUCGUGAGACAGUUCGGUCCCUAUCCGUCGCAGGCGUAGGAAAUUUGAGAAGACCUGUCCUUAGUACG